RNAcentral lists this ribosomal RNA (430 nucleotides) under uncultured bacterium. RNAcentral's name for it is "bacterial SSU rRNA". It matches the Rfam family "Bacterial small subunit ribosomal RNA", at positions 355 to 775 of the family's 1533-position model. The record is from RNAcentral.
UGCGGAAUUUUAGAUAAUGGAGGGAACUCUGAUCUAGCGACGCCGCGUGCAGGAAGAAGGUCUUCGGAUUGUAAACUGCUGGGGUAAGGGAAAAAUGCUAGGUAGAGUGGAAAGCUACAUAGAGGGAUGGUACCUUACUAGAAAGCCCCGGCUAACUACGUGCAAGAAGCCGCGGUAAUACGUAGGGGGCGAGCGUUACCCGGAAUAACUGGGCGUAAAGGGAGCGUAGGUGGCCUAACAUGUCAACUGUGAAAACCCGGAGCUCAACUCCGGACUGGCAGUUGAAACUGGUAGGCUUGAGGACGGUAGAGGAAGACGGAACUGCCAGUGUAGGGGUAAAAUCCUUAGAUAUUGGCAGGAACGCCGGUGACGAAGGUGGUUUUCUGGGCCGGUUCUGACACUGAUGCUCGAAAGCCAGGGGAGCGAACGG